ACACCGGCAGCUCAAGUGGUAGCCGCUUUUAUUGGGCCUAAAGCGUCCGUAGCCGGUCUGAUAAGUCUCUGGUGAAAUCCCACAGCUUAACUGUGGGAAUUGCUGGAGAUACUAUCAUGACUCGAGGUCGGGAGAGGCUGGAGGUACUCCCAGGGUAGGGGUGAAAUCCUGGAAUCCUGGGAGGACCACCUGUGGCGAAGGCGUCCAGCUGGAACGAACCUGACGGUGAGGGACGAAAGCCAGGGGCGCGAACCGGAUUAGAUACCCGGGUAGUCCUGGCCGUAAACGAUGUGGACUUGGUGUUGGGAUGGCUUCGAGCUGCCCCAGUGCCGAAGGGAAGCUGUUAAGUCCACCGCCUGGGAAGUACGGCCGCAAGGCUGAAACUUAAAGGAAUUGACGGGG
Molecule: ribosomal RNA, 402 nt
Filed under: uncultured bacterium
Lineage: Bacteria
Description: partial 16S ribosomal RNA
Rfam family: Archaeal small subunit ribosomal RNA
Source: RNAcentral